This is a non-coding RNA of Rattus norvegicus (Norway rat), 631 nucleotides long. The record is from RefSeq and is a predicted model, not a curated record. Lineage: Eukaryota; Metazoa; Chordata; Mammalia; Rodentia; Muridae.
UACUAAGAAUUUUUUCUUUUUUUAAAAAAUGAAAUUGUUCUUUACUGUUUUUACUGUUGUUAUAACUGAGCAGUUGAGACAAGGUAGACUAUGCCAAAGAAUUUACUUCUUGCAGUUCUAGACACUAAAAUGUCCAAGCUCGUAUCUGGUUAUAGCCCAGAACGUCCUAUGGUGAGGGGACUUGUGAGGACUGCUUAAGCCUUUAUGACUAAGCCUUUAUGAUUCACAGGCAUGGCCGUCUUGUCACAAUGUAUCGUCCCUUCGGUUGCUCACGCCUCAGCUGGUCUAGGAGAAAUUGGUCUUCCCAUGAUAGUGCUACAGGAAUGAAACUCUGUUGCUACUGACAUUUUGCUGUUACAGAAUUACUUUUGUUGCCGGUGAUGAGAGCCCAGUCAUCAUCCAAAGAUCCCACCUCAGCUGCCAUUAGCAUUUAGUGAAAAGACAGGAGUCUAAAGCAGUAAACCAACACAGCGUGACCUUGUGUCUUGCUCUUGCCCUUGCUCCAACAGCUGUCUGCGUGUGUUCCUCCGGUAGGAAUGCUCCCCUCAGUCAAAUCUCUCUACUGAAGCUGGGGAGGGGGAGGUCUUCCUACUUUUGAAUAUGUAUAUUUAAAGAUUUUUUUAUUAUUUCA